RNAcentral lists this ribosomal RNA (331 nucleotides) under uncultured Pseudomonadota bacterium. RNAcentral describes it as "bacterial SSU rRNA". It matches the Rfam family "Bacterial small subunit ribosomal RNA", at positions 568 to 898 of the family's 1533-position model. The record is from RNAcentral. Lineage: Bacteria; Pseudomonadati; Pseudomonadota.
CGCGCAGGCGGCGGUUCAAGUCGGGCGUGAAAGGCCUGGGCUCAACCCGGGAAUGGCGCUCGAGACUGAAUUGCUAGAGUCCGGGAGAGGAUGGUGGAAUUCCCAGUGUAGAGGUGAAAUUCGUAGAUAUUGGGAAGAACACCGGUGGCGAAGGCGGCCAUCUGGACCGGUACUGACGCUGAGGCGCGAAAGCGUGGGGAGCAAACAGGAUUAGAUACCCUGGUAGUCCACGCCGUAAACGAUGAGUGCCAGACGUCGGUGGGCAUGGCCCAUCGGUGUCGCAGCCAACGCGCUAAGCACUCCGCCUGGGGAGUACGGCCGCAAGGUUAAA